UACGUAGGGUGCAAGCGUUGUCCGGAAUUAUUGGGCGUAAAGAGCUCGUAGGCGGUCUGUCGCGUCUGCUGUGAAAACUCAGGGCUUAACCCUGAGCUUGCAGUGGGUACGGGCAGACUAGAGUGCGGUAGGGGAGACUGGAAUUCCUGGUGUAGCGGUGAAAUGCGCAGAUAUCAGGAGGAACACCGGUGGCGAAGGCGGGUCUCUGGGCCGUAACUGGACGCUGGAGGAAGCGAAAGCUGGGGAGCGAACAGG
RNAcentral lists this ribosomal RNA (255 nucleotides) under uncultured bacterium. Its description in RNAcentral is "partial 16S ribosomal RNA". It matches the Rfam family "Bacterial small subunit ribosomal RNA", at positions 524 to 776 of the family's 1533-position model. The record is from RNAcentral.